Molecule: ribosomal RNA, 497 nt
Filed under: uncultured bacterium
Lineage: Bacteria
Description: partial 16S ribosomal RNA
Rfam family: Bacterial small subunit ribosomal RNA
Source: RNAcentral
GAUGAACGCUGGCGGCGUGCCUAAUACAUGCAAGUCGAGCGAACGGACGAGAAGCUUGCUUCUCUGAUGUUAGCGGCGGACGGGUGAGUAACACGUGGAUCCCCUACCUAUAAGACUGGGAUAACUUCGGGAAACCGGAGCUAAUACCGGAUAAUAUUUUGAACCGCAUGGUUCAAAAGUGAAAGACGGUCUUUCUGUCACUUAUAGAUGGAUCCGCGCUGCAUUAGCUAGUUGGUAAGGUAAAGGCUUACCAAGGCAACGAUGCAUAGCCGACCUGAGAGGGUGAUCGGCCACACUGGAACUGAGACACGGUCCAGACUCCUACGGGAGGCAGCAGUAGGGAAUCUUCCGCAAUGGGCGAAAGCCUGACGGAGCAACGCCGCGUGAGUGAUGAAGGUCUUCGGAUCGUAAAACUCUGUUAUUAGGGAAGAACAUAUGUGUAAUUAACUGUGCACAUCGUGACGGUACCUAAUCAGAAAGCCACGGCUAACUACGUG